UCCAGGGUAGCCUAGUGGACAUGGCAUCUGCCCGGUAAGCAGAACACUGUGGGUUCGGAUCCCAUCCCUGGAC
RNAcentral lists this transfer RNA (73 nucleotides) under Cordylochernes scorpioides. Its description in RNAcentral is "tRNA-Thr". It matches the Rfam family "tRNA". Rfam says of the family: Transfer RNA (tRNA) molecules are approximately 80 nucleotides in length. Their secondary structure includes four short double-helical elements and three loops (D, anti-codon, and T loops). Lineage: Eukaryota; Metazoa; Arthropoda; Arachnida; Pseudoscorpiones; Chernetidae. The record is from RNAcentral.